CCUACGGGGGGCAGCAGUGGGGAAUAUUGCACAAUGGGGGAAACCCUGAUGCAGCGACGCCGCGUGAGUGAAGAAGUAUUUCGGUAUGUAAAGCUCUAUCAGCAGGGAAGAAGAAAGCCGGUACCUGACUAAGAAGCCCCGGCUAACUACGUGCCAGCAGCCGCGGUAAUACGUAGGGGGCAAGCGUUAUCCGGAUUUACUGGGUGUAAAGGGAGCGUAGACGGCUGUGCAAGUCUGAAGUGAAAGCCCGGGGCUCAACCCUGGGACUGCUUUGGAAACUGUGGAGCUAGAGUGCUGGAGAGGUAAGUGGAAUUCCUGGUGUAGCGGUGAAAUGCGUAGAUAUUAGGAGGAACACCAGUGGCGAAGGCGGCUUACUGGACAGUAACUGACGUUGAGGCUCGAAAGCGUGGGGAGCAAACAGGAUUAGAUACCCUAGUAGUC
Molecule: ribosomal RNA, 441 nt
Filed under: uncultured bacterium
Lineage: Bacteria
Description: partial 16S ribosomal RNA
Rfam family: Bacterial small subunit ribosomal RNA
Source: RNAcentral